CCUACGGGAGGCAGCAGUGGGGAAUUUUGGACAAUGGGCGCAAGCCUGAUCCAGCCAUGCCGCGUGCGGGAAGAAGGCCUUCGGGUUGUAAACCGCUUUUGUCAGGGAAGAAAAGUUCCGGGUUAAUACCCUGGGAUGCUGACGGUACCUGAAGAAUAAGCACCGGCUAACUACGUGCCAGCAGCCGCGGUAAUACGUAGGGUGCGAGCGUUAAUCGGAAUUACUGGGCGUAAAGCGUGCGCAGGCGGUUGUGCAAGACAGAUGUGAAAUCCCCGGGCUCAACCUGGGAACUGCAUUUGUGACUGCACGACUGGAGUGCGGCAGAGGGGGAUGGAAUUCCGCGUGUAGCAGUGAAAUGCGUAGAUAUGCGGAGGAACACCGAUGGCGAAGGCAAUCCCCUGGGCCUGCACUGACGCUCAUGCACGAAAGCGUGGGGAGCAAACAGGAUUAGAUACCCUGGUAGUCCACGCCCUAAACGAUGUCAACCUGGUUGUUGGGAGGGUUUCUUCUCAGUAACGUAGCUAACGCGUGAAGUUGACCGCCUGGGGAGUACGGCCCAAGGUUGAAACUCAAAGGAAUUGACGG
Molecule: ribosomal RNA, 585 nt
Filed under: uncultured bacterium
Lineage: Bacteria
Description: bacterial SSU rRNA
Rfam family: Bacterial small subunit ribosomal RNA
Source: RNAcentral